RNAcentral lists this long non-coding RNA (1782 nucleotides) under Homo sapiens (human). RNAcentral's name for it is "HSALNT0343236". The record is from RNAcentral. Lineage: Eukaryota; Metazoa; Chordata; Mammalia; Primates; Hominidae.
GGCCCCGGGCUGCCGCCAGCCCCCGCCAUCUGCUCACAAUUAUACAUUAACUCAAAGGUCUUGCCACCCGCCAACAAGCUGUGCGCCCCUCUCCGGGGCCAGCCAUGGCCAUUCCAGCCUGUCCCUCGCCCUGAUGUAGAGCCCUGAUCUCCGGCUUCUUCUGCCCUUAGGAGUCCCUGGUAGAAAGGCCCGUGUCUGUAGGGAAGUCUUGUCCUCAGGAAAGGCGGCUGGAGUUCCCCUGCCUUCCUCAAGGGACCAGAGGGCGAGCCAAGCCCGUGCGUAAAGCUGGAGAGGACUGGGCGCGGCCAGCGCAGAGACCCGCUGGCGUUGGUCUGACACCUCGUCUUGGGCUCUUGACACCUGCUGUGGGAGGAUCCCAUCCAGGAGCCCACUUUCCAUUAACCAUCAUGUCUGUGGCUCCUCUUGGCUGUGACAGUUUCUCAGACUUUGCUUGUUUUUGAUGACUUGGACAGUUUUGAGAAGUUAGGUAUUUUGUGGAAUGUCCCUCAACGGGGAUAUAUGCUUUUCUCAUGAUUAGGCUGGGGUUAUGGAUUUGGAAGAAGAAGACUAAAGAGGUAAAGUACCAUUUUCAUCACAUCAUACCUGGGCUUUGGGGUCAACUCCUGAGUCGUCAAAUCAUGUUAAGGGUAUAUACUGUCAACAUGGUGUAUCUAUCACUGUUGAUGGUGACCUUGAGCACCUGGCUAAGGUAGUGUUUUUCAGAUCUGUCCACUAACAUUACAAUGCCUCCCUUUCCUAAUGGUACUUUUCUGAAGGAAGUCAUUGUGCACAACUUAAUGAGUGAGGAGUUAUGCUCCACUUACUUGAGAGUGGAGUGUCUGCAUAAAUCAUUUGGAUUUUUUCCGCUGGAGCAAUCUCUUUUUUUUUCUCCCAUUUAUUUAUAUCAAUAUGGACUUAUUUUAUUCUAAAGAAAUGUGUUUUAUUUUGGGGUGUUAUAAUACAAUACAUUAUUUUGUUGAUCAAAUUAUUCCACCUUUGACAAUUGGGAACCCUUUCAGUUGACUCCUGUGUCCUUUGGCAUGCCCCCAUUAUUGUAGGGUUUGGAUUUUUUUGUUUCUUGAGUUUGGGGUCUUUUGGGGAUUUUUUUUUGUACUUCUUUACUUUCUGCAACUGCAAGAUGCUCCAGGUUAUCUUGUAUAUUCCCUGACCCAGUCCUAGAAUCAACCAUUUCUCCAAGGAGCCCUGGUUCCUUCUAUUGAAGAAUGGUAUGAGAAACCAAGAUCUGGACCCUAGAUAUGCUUGUUGCUACUGGGAUUUUAGUGCUUCUCUGUUCUCUCAGUUGACCGAGCAAAGAAAUAUAUGUGUGUAUACUGACCCAUGUAUAUACACGUAUCUUUAAUAUUUCUAUAUGUAACCACUUGUAUCUAAAUUAAACUAUUCAUGAGUUCAUACUGAUGUCUCCAACUCUAAUCCAUUAUUACAUGGAUCAUUCCGGUUUCCACCCUGCUUAUCUUUAAGCUCUCACUCCAACAGUGAGACACCUGGCUCCCAUAAUCCACCAUCUAUUACUUAAGUGCCCAAUUCCAGCAUCUAUUAUUGCGGCAUCUGAAUUGUUAACACAAACCAUACAGAAAAAUGAAACAACUUUAUCAACUGGAGUACAAUGCUUUUGUACAAUUUAUUUUACCUUAAAUUUACAGACUCUGUUCAUUCCCAAAGUUACUUAAAUCAGUAAAUUUACCCCCACUCCCUUCAAUUAGGUGGUUUCAUAUACCUGUAAUACAGUUAGAUUAUUUUGUCACAUUCUGCAUUCUAUUUUAG